UGUGCCUUGAGGCGUGGCUUCCGGAGCUAACGCGUUAAGUCGACCGCCUGGGGAGUACGGCCGCAAGGUUAAAACUCAAAUGAAUUGACGGGGGCCCGCACAAGCGGUGGAGCAUGUGGUUUAAUUCGAUGCAACGCGAAGAACCUUACCUACUCUUGACAUCCAGAGAACUUAGCAGAGAUGCUUUGGUGCCUUCGGGAACUCUGAGACAGGUGCUGCAUGGCUGUCGUCAGCUCGUGUUGUGAAAUGUUGGGUUAAGUCCCGCAACGAGCGCAACCCUUAUCCUUUGUUGCCAGCGGUUAGGCCGGGAACUCAAAGGAGACUGCCAGUGAUAAACUGGAGGAAGGUGGGGAUGACGUCAAGUCAUCAUGGCCCUUACGAGUAGGGCUACACACGUGCUACAAUGGCGUAUACAAAGAGAAGCGACCUCGCGAGAGCAAGCGGACCUCAUAAAGUACGUCGUAGUCCGGAUUGGAGUCUGCAACUCGACUCCAUGAAGUCGGAAUCGCUAGUAAUCGUAGAUCAGAAUGCUACGGUGAAUACGUUCCCGGGCCUUGUACUCCCCGCCCGUCA
RNAcentral lists this ribosomal RNA (573 nucleotides) under Enterobacterales bacterium. Its description in RNAcentral is "bacterial SSU rRNA". It matches the Rfam family "Bacterial small subunit ribosomal RNA", at positions 825 to 1399 of the family's 1533-position model. Lineage: Bacteria; Pseudomonadati; Pseudomonadota; Gammaproteobacteria; Enterobacterales. The record is from RNAcentral.